This 276-nucleotide ribosomal RNA is filed under the name uncultured prokaryote. RNAcentral describes it as "partial 16S ribosomal RNA". It matches the Rfam family "Bacterial small subunit ribosomal RNA", at positions 524 to 801 of the family's 1533-position model. The record is from RNAcentral.
UACGUAGGGGCUAGCGUUAUCCGGAAUUACUGGGCGUAAAGGGUGCGUAGGUGGUUUCUUAAGUCAGAGGUGAAAGGCUACGGCUCAACCGUAGUAAGCCUUUGAAACUGGGAAACUUGAGUGCAGGAGAGGAGAGUGGAAUUCCUAGUGUAGCGGUGAAAUGCGUAGAUAUUAGGAGGAACACCAGUUGCGAAGGCGGCUCUCUGGACUGUAACUGACACUGAGGCACGAAAGCGUGGGGAGCAAACAGGAUUAGAUACCCCUGUAGUCCCUGAG